UUUCCGUAGGUGAACCUGCGGAAGGAUCAUUGUCGAUACUUAACAGGAUAACUGUGAAUUUGCCUUCAAGUUAGGGUCGUUGUGUGAGGUAACUCCAUAGCGUUCCUUUUGUCGCUUGGGCUGCGGUUAAACAAACCCCGGCACGGAAUGUGCCAAGGAUUACUAAAUGGAUUGUCUUUCUCAUUUGUGUCAUUUGCGUGGUGCAAAUUGGGAUACGCCUAAAAUUCGAACGACUCCUGACAACGGAUAUCUCGGCUCUUGCAACGAUGAAGAACGUAGCGAAAUGCGAUACUUGGUGUGAAUUGCAGAAUCCCGUGAACCAUCGAGUUUUUGAACGCAAGUUGCGCCCGAAGCUUGUCUGCUGAGGGCACGUCUGCCUGGGUGUCACCCAUCAUGUUGACCCCAUCCCCGGAGAAUGGCCUCCCGUGUGCGUAAGCCUGCGGUUGGCUCAAAUGGAUAUUGGUGGCGCGCACUGUCAUGACAAGCAUUGGUUGAGGAAUCUCCUUGCUUUCGUGUCUGAGUGUCUUGUCCUCGGCGACCCUAUGGCGUGAAAGUUUGUGCCAUCAAAAGCGACCCCAGGUCAGAUGGGAUCACCCGCUGAGUUUAA
RNAcentral lists this ribosomal RNA (607 nucleotides) under Christisonia siamensis. RNAcentral's name for it is "eukaryotic LSU rRNA". The stretch from base 232 to 387 matches the Rfam family "5.8S ribosomal RNA". The record is from RNAcentral. Lineage: Eukaryota; Viridiplantae; Streptophyta; Magnoliopsida; Lamiales; Orobanchaceae.